GACGAACGCUUGCGGCGUGCUUAACACAUGCAAGUCGAACGAAGUGGCGAACGGGUGAGUAACGCGUAAUCAACCUGCCCUUCAGAGGGGGACAACAGUUGGAAACGACUGCUAAUACCGCAUACUGAAGGAGGGGCUUGCGUCUGAUUAGCUAGUUGGAGGGGUAACGGCCCACCAAGGCGAUGAUCCGUAGACGGUCUGAGAGGAGUAACGGGCAAAUGGGGAAUGAGACACGGCCCAGACUCCGACGGGAGGCAGCAGUGGGGAAGCUUCCGCAAUGGAGGAAAGUCUGACGGAGCAACGCCGCGUGAGUGAUGACGGCCUUCGGGUUGUAAAGCUCUGUUAAUCGGGACGCGGUACCGGAAUAGAAAGCCACGGCUAACUACGUGCCAGCAGCCGCGGUAAUUC
This 408-nucleotide ribosomal RNA is filed under the name uncultured bacterium. RNAcentral's name for it is "partial 16S ribosomal RNA". It matches the Rfam family "Bacterial small subunit ribosomal RNA", at positions 28 to 526 of the family's 1533-position model. The record is from RNAcentral.